RNAcentral lists this ribosomal RNA (441 nucleotides) under uncultured bacterium. RNAcentral describes it as "partial 16S ribosomal RNA". It matches the Rfam family "Bacterial small subunit ribosomal RNA", at positions 338 to 795 of the family's 1533-position model. The record is from RNAcentral.
CCUACGGGAGGCAGCAGUGGGGGAUAUUGCACAAUGGGGGGAACCCUGAUGCAGCGACGCCGCGUGGGUGAAGGAGUGCUUCGGCAUGUAAAGCCCUAUCGGCAGGGAAGAAGCAAGACGGUACCUGACUCAGAAGCCCCGGCUAACUACGUGCCAGCAGCUGCGGUAAUACGUGGGGGGGGAGUGUUAUCAGGAUUCACUGGGUGUAAAGGGAUCGUAGACGGCCAUGCAAGCCAGGCGGGAAAGCCCGGGGACUAACCCCGGGACUGCCCUUGAAACUGGAUGGCUGGAGUGCGGGAGGGGCAGGCGGAAUGCGUGGUGUAGCGGUGAAAUGCGUAGAUAUCAGGAGGAACACCGGCGGCGAAGGCAGCCUGCUGGACCGCGACUGACGUUGAGGCUCGAAAGCGUGGGGAGCGAACAGGAUUAGAUACCCGUGUAGUC